This 265-nucleotide long non-coding RNA is filed under the name Elaeis guineensis (African oil palm). RNAcentral's name for it is "long non-coding RNA (EGUI_LNC034767)". Lineage: Eukaryota; Viridiplantae; Streptophyta; Magnoliopsida; Arecales; Arecaceae. The record is from RNAcentral.
CUCAUGCCAUAUCUAGAAUCCUUGUCCUCACCAAAAACCCACAAUCUCACCCCUAAGGGCCUUUCUUCAUACGACUCCCACUCUCCUAAUUCUUUUGAAAAUGAAAAACCCCAUGUUCUAGUCUCCACGCUCCCUAUCCCAAAACAAAGUCUCACACCCAAAAAUGCCCAAAACAAAAUCUUAUGCCAAAACAAAGUCCUCAUGCCCAAAAUAUAUUUUUGGUUCUCCAUGCUUCCUAUCCUUUUCUUAAAUAGGCUCACAUCAU